GGCUACAUAGUUCAGUGGUAGAACGCUUGUCUCAUGAGCAAGAGGUCCUGGGUUCAACUCCCAGUGUAGCCA
Molecule: transfer RNA, 72 nt
Filed under: Candidatus Pacearchaeota archaeon
Lineage: Archaea; Nanobdellati
Description: tRNA-Met
Rfam family: tRNA
About the family: Transfer RNA (tRNA) molecules are approximately 80 nucleotides in length. Their secondary structure includes four short double-helical elements and three loops (D, anti-codon, and T loops).
Source: RNAcentral